RNAcentral lists this ribosomal RNA (880 nucleotides) under uncultured Flavobacteriia bacterium. RNAcentral's name for it is "bacterial SSU rRNA". It matches the Rfam family "Bacterial small subunit ribosomal RNA", at positions 58 to 936 of the family's 1533-position model. Lineage: Bacteria; Pseudomonadati; Bacteroidota; Flavobacteriia. The record is from RNAcentral.
CAAGUCGUGGGGCAGCAGGGGUAGCAAUACCCGCUGGCGACCGGCAAACGGGUGAGGAGCAUGUACGCAACCUUCCUUUAAUUGGAGAAUAGCCCCUCGAAAGAGGGAUUAAUACUCCGUAACAUGAUGAAGUGGCAUCACUUUAUUAUUAUAGCUCCGGCGGUUAAAGAUGGGCGUGCACCUGAUUAGAUAGUUGGCGGGGUAAUGGCCCACCAAGUCUACGAUCAGUAACUGGUGUGAGAGCACGACCAGUCACACGGGCACUGAGACACGGGUCCGACUCCUACGGGAGGCAGCAGUAAGGAAUAUUGGUCAAUGGACGCAAGUCUGAACCAGCCAUGCCGCGUGGAGGAUUAAGGCCCUCUGGGUUGUAAACUCCUUUUAUCUGGGAAGAAAUGUACUUUUUCUUGAGUACUUGACGGUACCAGAGGAAUAAGCACCGGCUAACUCCGUGCCAGCAGCCGCGGUAAUACGGAGGGUGCAAGCGUUAUCCGGAUUCACUGGGUUUAAAGGGUGCGUAGGUGGGCAGGUAAGUCAGUGGUGAAAUCUCCGAGCUUAACUCGGAAACUGCCGUUGAUACUAUUUGUCUUGAAUAUUGUGGAGGUAAGCGGAAUAUGUCAUGUAGCGGUGAAAUGCUUAGGUAUGACAUAGAACACCAAUUGCGAAGGCAGCUUACUACGCAACGAUUGACGCUGAGGCACGAAAGCGUGGGGAUCAAACAGGAUUAGAUACCCUGGUAGUCCACGCCCUAAACGAUGAUUACUCGACAUACGCGAUACACUGUGUGUGUCUGAGCGAAAGCAUUAAGUAAUCCACCUGGGAAGUACGUUCGCAAGAAUGAAACUCAAAGGAAUUGACGGGGGUCCGCACAAGCGGUGGA